GCAUAUCAGUAAGCGGUGGAAAAGAAACCAACCGGAAUUUCCGUAGUAACGGCGAGUGAAUCGGAAUUAGCCCAGCACCGAAUCUUGAAGUGUAUGCUUCUGAGAGUUGUGGUGUAUGGAUGAGCUUUAUGGUAGCAUAUGCAGGUCUAAGUCCGCUUGAAUGAGGCAAAUAAUCCAAAGAGGGUGUAAGGCCCGUAAUAACCGCAUAUGUUGCCUUAGGGCUUGUCUUAGAGUCGGGUUGCUUGUAAAUGCAGCCCAAAGUGGCUGGUAGACUCCAGCUAAGGCUAAAUACCGGGACAAGUCCGAUAGCAAACAAGUACUGUGAAGGAAAGUUGAAAAGAACUUUGAAGAGAGAGUUCAAUAGUACGUGAAACCGCUCAGAUGUAAACGGGUAGAGCCGAAAUAGAUGCGUGGGAUUAAAUCUUGUGUUCUUACUUGUUGGCUAAGUUGAUCUUACGACGACUUAGCAAACUGUUGUGAGUUACGUGGGAUGCAAUUUCCAUUAAUCUAUACAGUGACCGGUGGUAUCAUUUGAUUCGUGUAUGGUGUUGUUCACAUGUGUUUCGGCAUGUGUGUAAACCUGUACAGUCUUGAGUGAACGCAUCGAAAUGUCGCGGUGUGGUAAUGAAUACCUAAAUCGUGCGAUACAUUGGUGAAACUUCAUUUGAAGGUAGCUGAUGAUAUUACAGCGAGGUCUUGUAUUCUAGGUCACACUGCAGUUGUCACCGUCUUUACGUAGGUCAUCUACCCGACCCGUCUUGAAACACGGACCAAGGAGUCUAACAUGUUCGCAAGUUGUUGGGUUUUAUGAAACCUGAUGGCACAGUGAAAGCACAGGUCUGUCUUGUACAGUCUUAGUUGGGAUCCUCACAUGAUGGGGCGCACCAACAGGCCGUCACACGUGCAUGCACAAGGUGGCGUACCAAUAGCGAACAUGUUGGGACCCGAAAGAUGGUGAACUAUGCUUGCACAGGUUGAAGCCAGAGGAAACUCUGGUGGAGGACCGCAGCGGUUCUGACGUGCAAAUCGAUCGUCAGAUGUGAGUAUAGGGGCGAAAGACUAAUCGAACCAUCUAGUAGCUGGUUCCCACCGAAGUUUCCCUC
Molecule: ribosomal RNA, 1103 nt
Filed under: Octopoxenus antarcticus
Lineage: Eukaryota; Metazoa; Platyhelminthes; Fecampiida; Notenteridae
Description: partial large subunit ribosomal RNA
Rfam family: Eukaryotic large subunit ribosomal RNA
Source: RNAcentral